GGCGGUUGUGGCGCAGUUGGUAGCGCGGGUUGUCCACUAAUCAUAGGGUGCGUGGUUCGAUUCCCGGUGACGCCA
Molecule: non-coding RNA, 75 nt
Organism: Ameiurus melas (black bullhead)
Lineage: Eukaryota; Metazoa; Chordata; Actinopteri; Siluriformes; Ictaluridae
Source: the annotation of a GenBank genome assembly